Molecule: ribosomal RNA, 468 nt
Filed under: uncultured bacterium
Lineage: Bacteria
Description: partial 16S ribosomal RNA
Rfam family: Bacterial small subunit ribosomal RNA
Source: RNAcentral
GACGAACGCUGGCGGCGUGCUUAACACAUGCAAGUCGAACGGAAAGGCCCUGCUUUUGUGGGGUGCUCGAGUGGCGAACGGGUGAGUAACACGUGAGUAACCUGCCCUUGACUUUGGGAUAACUUCAGGAAACUGGGGCUAAUACCGUAUAGGAGCUCCUGCUGCAUGGUGGGGGUGGGAAAGUUUCGGCGGGUGGGGAUGGACUCGCGGCUUAUCAGCUUGUUGGUGGGGUAGUGGCUUACCAAGGCUUUGACGGGUAGCCGGCCUGAGAGGGUGACCGGCCACAUUGGGACUGAGAUACGGCCCAGACUCCUACGGGAGGCAGCAGUGGGGAAUACUGCACAAUGGGCGGAAGCCUGAUGCAGCAACGCCGCGUGCGGGAUGACGGCCUUCGGGGUGUAAACCGCUUUCGCCUGUGACGAAGCGUGAGUGACGGUAAUGGGUAAAGAAGCACCGGCUAACUACGUG